RNAcentral lists this ribosomal RNA (168 nucleotides) under uncultured bacterium. Its description in RNAcentral is "partial 16S ribosomal RNA". It matches the Rfam family "Bacterial small subunit ribosomal RNA", at positions 339 to 524 of the family's 1533-position model. The record is from RNAcentral.
CUACGGGAGGCAGCAGUGGGGAAUAUUGCGCAAUGGGGGAAACCCUGACGCAGCAACGCCGCGUGGGUGACGAAGGUCUUCGGAUUGUAAAACCCUGUCUUCUGGGACGAUAAUGACGGUACCAGAGGAGGAAGCCACGGCUAACUACGUGCCAGCAGCCGCGGUAAU